This 440-nucleotide ribosomal RNA is filed under the name uncultured bacterium. RNAcentral's name for it is "partial 16S ribosomal RNA". It matches the Rfam family "Bacterial small subunit ribosomal RNA", at positions 339 to 795 of the family's 1533-position model. The record is from RNAcentral.
CUACGGGGCGCUCCAGUCGAGAAUCUUCCGCAAUGGGCGAAAGCCUGACGGAGCAAUGCCGCGUGCAGGAUGAAGGCCUUCGGGUCGUAAACUGCUGUCACCGGGGAUGAAUAAUGACAGUACCCGGGGAGGAAGUCACGGCUAACUACGUGCCAGCAGCCGCGGUAAUACGUAGGUGACAAGCGUUGUUCGGAUUUAUUGGGCGUAAAGGGUUCGUAGGAUGUUGAUUAAGAUUGGUGUGAAAUCCCAAGGCUCAACCUUGGAACUGCAUUGAUUACUGAUGAACUAGAGUGUCGUAGAGGAAAGCGGAAUUCCAGGUGUAGCGGUGGAAUGCGUAGAUAUCUGGAAGAACACCGACAGCGAAGGCAGCUUUCUGGGCGAUAACUGACUCUGAGGAACGAAAGCAUGGGGAGCAAACAGGAUUAGAUACCCUUGUAGUC